AAGGACGACGUUUGUCAAAUUUUAAAGCGAAGACCAUAAAUAUGGGUGUGACUAUUGAAGUUUAUCGGGCCAGGAUUGGUUCACAUCACAAUUUUACAGAUUGUCGCAACAGUCUGUGUCGUCUUAAAGACUUUCAAAUGAUGUGGAGGAAAAUCCAGGUCCUAGGACUAUAAAUGAUAUAGUUGACCCUGCUUGUACAAUCCAUGCUGAUUUUAAUCAAGGUAAUGACUUAAUGUUUGGUGUGAAUGCUGGUAAGCAGUGUGUUGCCAUGUCACUAUAUGCAAUUGUUUACAAAGAAAUUAAAUCAGUCAAUAUUUGGGACAAGUCAAUUCUAAACACAAUUUUAGUAAGUGGAAACAGUUUGUAUUGUGUUAUCAGCCAAAGUAUAAAUAAGAGUUAUUUAUUAUUAACUGAUGUCCCUGAGUUUGUAGACAUAGAUAAUCAUACCUUUAAUUUGCAAUACAGUGAUUCCUUUUCAGGAGCAUUAUAUUUGAGUGAAAAUAGUCUCCCAUAUGUGACUAUUGAGCAUGCUUUGAAUGAAGUAUUUUAUUCUUUAAACUAUAAAAGUUGUUUACUUACAAUUGGUAUGAACACUGUGGCAAUCAUGAUGCCUUUUCCUGAUGUGUUUAAAGUGUUUGAUUCUCAUUCACGAGAUAUGUAUGGU
This is a long non-coding RNA of Dendronephthya gigantea, 664 nucleotides long. RefSeq lists it as uncharacterized. Lineage: Eukaryota; Metazoa; Cnidaria; Anthozoa; Malacalcyonacea; Nephtheidae. The transcript has 3 exons. The record is from RefSeq and is a predicted model, not a curated record.